RNAcentral lists this long non-coding RNA (248 nucleotides) under Musa acuminata (dwarf banana). RNAcentral's name for it is "long non-coding RNA (MACU_LNC006533)". The record is from RNAcentral. Lineage: Eukaryota; Viridiplantae; Streptophyta; Magnoliopsida; Zingiberales; Musaceae.
UGCUUGGAGACAGCCCAAAGCCACCCACCAAAUAUGACUACCCAAAGAGAACUCCAGACCCAACCAAGUGCCAUUAUUGAUCGACGGAUCGUGACUCGACGACGACGACCCACUAAUGAAGUGCUAAUACAGUGGGCGAACCUACCAAAAGAAGAUGCCACUUGGGAGAACUAUGACGACUUGAAGAUCAAAUUCCCAAAAUUCAUGAAUCAUUAGCCUCGAGGACAAGGCUGAUUUGAAGAGGGCGG